Molecule: ribosomal RNA, 388 nt
Filed under: uncultured bacterium
Lineage: Bacteria
Description: bacterial SSU rRNA
Rfam family: Bacterial small subunit ribosomal RNA
Source: RNAcentral
UGGGGAAUCUUGCACAAUGGGGGAAACCCUGAUGCAGCGACGCCGCGUGAACGAUGAAGCCCUUCGGGGUGUAAAGUUCUUUCGGCAGGAACGAUAAUGACGGUACCUGAAGAAGAAGCUGCGGCUAACUACGUGCCAGCAGCCGCGGUAAUACGUAGGCAGCAAACGUUGUUCGGAGUUACUGGGCGUAAAGAGUACGUAGGCGGUUUGCCAAGUUUGGUGUGAAAUCUCCUGGCUUAACUGGGAGGUGCGCCGAAUACUGGCAGACUUGAGUAUUGGAGAGGAAAGCGGAAUUCCUGGUGUAGCGGUGAAAUGCGUAGAUAUCAGGAGGAACACCGGUGGUGUAGACGGCUUUCUGGACAAUCACUGACGCUGAGGUACGAAAGCG